GACGAACGCUGGCGGCGUGCUUAACACAUGCAAGUCGAACGGUGAAGCACCUUCCUUUUGGUGGGUGUGGAUGAGUGGCGAACGGGUGAGUAACACGUGAGUAACCUGCCCCCUUCUUCUGGAUAACCGCAUGAAAGUGUGGCUAAUACGGGAUAUUCUGUGCCUGCUGCAUGGUGGGUGUGGGAAAGAUGCGCUUUUGGGUGUUUUUGGUGGGGGAUGGGCUCGCGGCCUAUCAGCUUGUUGGUGGGGUGAUGGCCUACCAAGGCGGUGACGGGUAGCCGGCCGGAGAGGGUGGACGGUCACACUGGGACGGAGACACGGCCCAGACGCCUACGGGAGGCAGCAGUGGGGAAUAGUGCGCAAGGGGCGCAAGCCUGAUGCAGCGACGCCGCGUGAGGGAUGGAGGCCUUCGGGUUGUAAACCUCUGUCGCCAGUGAAGCAGGCCUGUCCCUUGUGGGUGGGUUGACGGUAGCUGGAUAAGAAGCGCCGACUAACUACGUG
This 501-nucleotide ribosomal RNA is filed under the name uncultured bacterium. RNAcentral describes it as "partial 16S ribosomal RNA". It matches the Rfam family "Bacterial small subunit ribosomal RNA", at positions 28 to 507 of the family's 1533-position model. The record is from RNAcentral.